This 378-nucleotide unclassified non-coding RNA is filed under the name plant metagenome. Its description in RNAcentral is "partial contains 5.8S ribosomal RNA, internal transcribed spacer 2, and large subunit ribosomal RNA". The stretch from base 1 to 105 matches the Rfam family "5.8S ribosomal RNA", at positions 50 to 154 of the family's 154-position model. The record is from RNAcentral.
GAAAUGCGAUAAGUAAUGUGAAUUGCAGAAUUCAGUGAAUCAUCGAAUCUUUGAACGCACCUUGCGCUCCUUGGUAUUCCUUGGAGCAUGCCUGUUUGAGUAUCAUGAAAUCUUCAAAGUAAAUCUUUUGUUAACUCAAUUGGUUUCUACUUUGGUAUUGGAGGUCUUUGCAGCUUCACACCUGCUCCUCUUUGUUCAUUAGCUGGAUCUCAGUGUUAUGCUUGGUUCCACUCGGCGAGAUAAGUUAUCUAUCGCUGAGGACACUGUAAAAGGUGGCCAAGGUAAAUGCAGAUGAACCGCUUCUAAUAGUCCAUUGACUUGGACAAUACUUUUAUGAUCUGAUCUCAAAUCAGGUAGGACUACCCGCUGAACUUAAGC